Long non-coding RNA from Taeniopygia guttata (zebra finch), 4086 nucleotides. The record is from Ensembl. NCBI's taxonomy places the organism in Eukaryota, Metazoa, Chordata, Aves, Passeriformes, Estrildidae.
UUUUUUUUUUUUUUUUCAGAAAGCUCUCCCAGAACAAGCAGUUUUCUUUCCUUCUUCAAUAAAAGUCUUGGCACUAAUAAAUCCAGGAGAAAUCUGCUUUUUAGCAAGGCCUGUUGCAAUAGAACAAGGGGCAAUGGUUUAAAAAUAAAGGAGGGUCAAUUUAGAUUAGAUAUAAAGAAGAUGCUUUUUACAGUGAGGGUGGUGAAACACAGGAACAGGUUGCCAAGGAAGACCUGGUACAUAUCUCAACCCUGGAAACAUUCAAGGUCAGAUUGGAUGGGAGUCUGGUAACCUGAUCUCGUUGAAGAUGCCCAUGGUCACUGCAGGGGAUUGGAUCUAGAUGUCCUUUAAAUGCCUCUUCCAACUCAAUUAUUCUAUGAUUCUACAAUAAUCCAAAGGAUUUCAAUAGUUCCUCUUGUUUUCAAAGUAGUAUGAGACAAAAACUACCUUUCUUCCUGAAGGAAAGCAAGUUCCAGAAAAGAUUAUACAGCACAAAUUUUCGAAAACCAUUGCAUUAUUAUGCAAAUAAUGUAAUCUGAUCACAGUUUAUCAGUUCUUAUCACCUGAAACUGAUCACAGUUUCUUAUUACAUUAGGCAUUCAAGCUAUUUCAAAUUGAUUCUCACAGUAACACUUGUAAACCAUAUUAAUCAUAAUUUUAGAAUACAUUUACCUAUGGAUGACAACCAAUUGAUUACUCAAAAGUUCAGUGAGCUAAAAAAAAAACCCUUCUUUUUCAUCCAGAGAUAAAUUCUUAGUGCCUAAAAUAUGUAAUUGAGAUAUGCAUCCAACCAUUAAAAAACAUGUUUAAUGAUAAGUACUUUUCCAAGCCAGCAACUCUUACUACAGCAUGGAUUUUUGUAAGGAUGGAUUUGCUCAUGUAGGCAUAUUUACUGUAGAUGUGUUUUUAUUUGUAUUCAUUGGUGCUGCAGGUUGCACUAGAAUCCAUGAAUCUAUCAUGCUGUGUUUCUUAUACCCUAGAAAUGCAGAAUUGUACUUUUUAGGCUCAGCAUGGUAAGUACAUCAAGUGACGUUUUUAACAACACAAAGGAUGUGUUUUAAUCUGCUGCUAUUUUGCAACUGUAGUAAUAAGACUCUGCUACUGAAAGCCUUCAGAAGCUUUGUGCCAGCAAAUUAAAUGAGGACCUAGAGAGGUUUGCAGGGAUGCAAACUAACUUUUCAUUUGCUUCAUGUACACAAAUUAUAUUUAUGAUCAGCCUGUAGCAGCACAAUCAGCCCUUCAGCAGUGUUCAUGUGACCUUCAGCACCAACUGGAUGCUGGCUGAUGAGAUGGUGCCUGCGAGAUCUCAUUAACUCUGCCCUGUAUUUUGAACCUCUUCUCAUCUACAGGACAGUAUUGGCAAGAGAAGAAAUAAUGAUGGUGGAGAGAAAAGGCCUUGCAGUGCUGUCUGAGAUUCAGGGCAUCUCCCAUCACCUUAAGGAGUCUUCAUAGAUGAGAUUUCCAGAGGCACAUCAGUCUGAAGCAAAAAAAUGGAUGCUAUAAAAGGUAGCAUUGGUAUGAGCCUGUGCUUGUUUUCCACUCUGCCACAGCCUCAGAAGAACGAGGUAAAUGACUCAGCUCUCUACAAAGAUGUAUAAGGCAUUUCCACUGGCCUGGAAGAUCCCAGCUUUGUGACAUGCAAUAGAUUAGGGAAUCUCUGCCAUCAUGAAAUCAGGCUUCUGCACAAAGACUUUCAACUCCUGGGACAUUCUUACAAUGAAUAUAAUUAGCCCCAUUUUAAAGCUGGCAAUAAAAGAAGGGAAGAACUUGCAAAAGACCGCACACGUGGGUCAGUCUUCUUUGGCAGAUGCACUUAAUUUCAGGCAAGUACUUAAAACACAAGACUAAUGAAUUUAAAACUGAAUUUCCUGUCCUGUAUUGGAGGUCAUGCUGAGGAGUAUUAUUAAAAUUAAUUCAGCCCAAAAUCUUAGGGUUAAAAUAAUUUUUAAAUGUAGCCUUAAAAAAAAAUAAAUACAUGAACAAAGACAAGAUCUGCAAUAACACAGAGAAAAUUAAUUACCUAGGCAGACUCCUUUUCAAGUUCAUGACUCAUGCCAGCAUGUAAAUGUCUGCAUGAAGUCAACUCUUAAUGCUAAUUUUGUCACUGUAAGAAAGUCAUAAUGUUCUCUGAGAAAAACUGAGUGCAUACCUUGCUAUUGAUUUUUCAAGAGUCUGACUGGCAGUGCUCUACUAUAACUGCAGAUUUGUGCUAAUGCUCUAAAAUGUUUUGCUAAAUUUAAUCUUUCACCACAGAUAUAAGGGACUCCUGACUAUGCUGCAGUUGGUCUCAGCUGCACAGAAGCUGUGGUCACAGCCACUUAAUUCAUCCCUUUUUACUGAAUAUAGACAUGCAAGUGUAGCACUCAAUAAGCCAAAAAACCCAUUCCAUAUAAUGAUAAAACCACAGUACAAAGAAUACAAAGAGUAGGAGUAAGAAAAGAUGUUUUUUUGUUUGAACUGAUCUGUGGUUCAAAUGUUGCCCCUGGUGCUCCCCUGCCAGAAGCUGCUGUUUAUCAGCCUGGCUGGCAUGGGGUCACAGUGCUGGGCACUGACAGAGCUGCUGAGGACCCAGCCCUCAGUGUCUCCACAAGACCCCUUAUUGGAACUAUCACCUCUGAGCACACAGUAAAUUUAGAGACAUGAGCUACCAGCUGGAGGUAUCAGUUUUUAAUAUAAGAAUUACCAAAGUGAUCCUUGGGUUCUUUUAAUCUGAAUGGAUCAUUACAAGAGAAAGUAAAUGUGUCUGAUGGUCCAUAUGCACGGCCCCACUUGGCCACAUGAUGCCAAAAGCUGCACAUGCCAUGGCUGAAAGUACCCUUUACAUGGGCAACAUCUCCAUUAGGGGUCAUGACUUCAUUAAACUGGGGAAAAAAGAAACACAGGCACAUUGCCAUGAGCAUUUCUCUCUGCUGGUGGCAGGCAGAGCCCAGGCAGCGCAGGCAGGAGGCAGCCAGCUGCAUUGCUGGGCUGUACCACCCCAAAAGCUGCUGCUCCUCUUCAUCUCCCCUGGAAAGUCCCUGGCAGUGAGAGGGAUGUCAGCAUCAUGCUGACACCAGAGGUGCCACCAACAUGAGGACUGCAUUGUGACAGAGCCUCUCCAAACAUGCAGCCAGACAAGGGGCCUGAAGCACCAUGUCUGACAAGGCACUGAGCACAGCAGAGGUUUUAGACUGGCAGACUGAGUGCAGGUCAAGUGUCCUGGCAGCUCCUGGCAUGCCACAGGCUGCCUUCCCACUGCACAAAGCAAAAACAGACAAGUAAAAGGAUAAGAUGGAGGAAAAUGCCUCCUCCCCAACAUCACUUUCUCUUUGCCCAUGGCAGCAUUCAGAGGGAGCAGGGCUCACUCUGUAAAAGCCAAGGCCUGAGGAAAAUGUCACCUGCUGUCACCUGCUGCACCCAUCCUCACCCCAGACACUGGGCGCCCAGGGGAACAGGCGUCCAACUGCUCCAAUGUUCACAGGGGCACGCAGAGCAGGGAAGGGGCAGGAGAUGAAGUUACAUGGGAGUGUCCCUGUGCAGCCCCAGCCGCCCCUCUCCUGCUCUCAGGGUGGCCCCAGGGGAAGAAGAAACGAGUGGAGAGAAGGACAGAGAGAGUGUUGCUUCAUCACAUAGAGCCACACAAUGCAGCAUUUGCACCCAAGCCAGCACAGGUCCAAGCAGGGAUUGGAUGAUAACAUGGCACAUGGGGUGAAAGUCUGAGCUUGUGCCUCCAGAGCAGCCCAGUCUUAUCCCAAAGAGCUGAACCCAAGCAGCACCUGGAGACAACAUGGGAAGAAGCAUCUCUACAUCCCACUUUCUAGGUUAUGUGAAGGCAGUACUUACAUUCAAAGGUGUUAGAGGGAAAGAUAACCAAAGCAUGUAUCCUUUUUUUUUUCCAGAAAAAAAUUAUAUAUCCUGCACUUUUUUUGAAGCUAAUUUUAAGUGUGAAGUGAUCGGUUACUAAGAUGAUUAAUGCCUUGCCAGUAUUCUCAGACAGUGAAAGAGAAUGUGGUCAGCUUAUAUUGAUUUUAUGACUUUGUUAUUAUAUUUUAUUCAUAUCACUGUCGUGUACUUAUGCACACAUGGAACAAUCAGACAACUGGAUAA